This 480-nucleotide ribosomal RNA is filed under the name uncultured bacterium. RNAcentral describes it as "partial 16S ribosomal RNA". It matches the Rfam family "Bacterial small subunit ribosomal RNA", at positions 28 to 523 of the family's 1533-position model. The record is from RNAcentral.
GACGAACGCUGGCGGCGUGCUUAACACAUGCAAGUCGAGCGGAAAGGCCCUUUCGGGGGUACUCGAGCGGCGAACGGGUGAGUAACACGUGAGUAAUCUGCCCCUGGCUUUGGGAUAGCCACCGGAAACGGUGAUUAAUACCGGAUACGACCACUUCUCGCAUGGGACGGUGGUGGAAAGUUUUUCGGCCAGGGAUGUGCUCGCGGCCUAUCAGCUUGAUGGUGAGGUAAUGGCUCACCAUGGCUUCGACGGGUAGCCGGCCUGAGAGGGUGACCGGUCACACUGGGACUGAGACACGGCCCAGACUCCUACGGGAGGCAGCAGUGGGGAAUAUUGGACAAUGGGCGGAAGCCUGAUCCAGCAACGCCGCGUGAGGGAUGACGGCCUUCGGGUUGUAAACCUCUUUCAGCAGGGACGAAGCGCAAGUGAUGGUACCUGCAGAAGAAGCACCGGCCAACUACGUGCCAGCAGCCGCCGUAA